GCAAAGGAAGGACCUCCCCUUCCUUCAAGGGGUGACAGGAAGUAAAGGAGGAGAUUCCCUGAGGCAUUGCUUGCUCUGUGCCUGCAGGAGGAAGUUGUGAGCUUCCCAGUGGGAGAGACACCCUGAGGAGAUUUGUACUCCCAAAAGUAGAAAUGAUAGGGGAGGUGGAGAGUUUAUGGCAGCGACUCCUACCAUCAAGACUGUCAGAACAGACUUGAGUGUCUUUGUGAAAUCUCCAUCCUUGAAGCUGCAGCUGUAGAGAAGUCCAACAGAUGAGAACAAAGGAACAGCCUCUGGAGCAAAGGAAAAGCUAUUUGGUGACAGAAGCAUUAAGCACAUAACUCUGUGGCAGGAGUCACCUUCUGUAAACUGGGAUUAUCUGUAAGGCGAAUUUACCCACUGUUGUCAAAAAUAUUUUCCAUAUGCAGUGCCUGAAUUCACUACGAGGCAGAUGAGAGAAGGAAUCCUGCCUUUCCACUUCGCACCUCUCCCAGUGCAAGAACUUGGUGUGAAUCCAGCCUGUGUUUCAUUGCUCAAGUCCAUCCUGAUUCAGCAAAGCACUUCAUUAUGCUUAACUUUAAUCAUGUGCUGAAAGGGUGAUAAAGCGCUUCCUUGAUUCAAGGUGGACUUAAACAGGUGCACAAAAAACUGGGAGAGGAAGAAGUGUUCUUGGGUAACAUGUUGCACUCACCACAUUUAAUACAGCCACCUUCAAUCUAUAUGGGGAAGGCUGGGAUGUGAAUCUUCAAACAAGCAACCCAGUACUGUGAUGGAAGGGUUCUAGAACAGCUCGAGAAGUGAGGGAGGCAAUGCAUGGCAAGUGAUGGAAGAGAACUGGCUGAGAGAGAAGAUCGCAGGCUGCUGUCAGUGGCCUUCCACGGAUAACAUUUCACUGUUACCACAAAGCAAGUGGGUUUUCAUAUCAAAGGUGUUUGUAGUCAAUACAGACAUCUAUAGAAUAUAUAGAUACGAUUUUACUUAUUGUCCUUGCCGCUUGGGCAGGAUAUUUCAAUUUGCCUGCUACUAAUGUAACUAUAUUGAUUGUGUUAUAAAAUAUGUCUUAUAUUCUGA
Molecule: long non-coding RNA, 1071 nt
Organism: Hemicordylus capensis (graceful crag lizard)
Lineage: Eukaryota; Metazoa; Chordata; Lepidosauria; Squamata; Cordylidae
Exons: 4
Source: RefSeq, a predicted model, not a curated record